RNAcentral lists this ribosomal RNA (274 nucleotides) under uncultured bacterium. Its description in RNAcentral is "partial 16S ribosomal RNA". It matches the Rfam family "Bacterial small subunit ribosomal RNA", at positions 523 to 796 of the family's 1533-position model. The record is from RNAcentral.
AUACGGAGGGUCCAAGCGUUAUCCGGAUUCAUUGGGUUUAAAGGGUCCGCAGGCGGGAAAAUAAGUCAGUGGUGAAAGCCUACAGCUCAACUGUAGAACUGCCAUUGAAACUGUUUUUCUUGAGUAUAGAUGAAGUGGGCGGAAUAUACCAUGUAGCGGUGAAAUGCAUAGAUAUGAUAUAGAACACCGAUUGCGAAGGCAGCUCACUAAACUAUUACUGACGCUCAGGGACGAAAGCGUGGGGAGCGAACAGAAUUAGAAACCCUAGUAGUCC